CCUACGGGGGGCUGCAGUGGGGAAUAUUGGACAAUGGGGGGAACCCUGAUCCAGCCAUGCCGCGUGUGUGAAGAAGGCCCUCGGGUUGUAAAGCACUUUCAGUGAGGAAGAACGCCUGGUGGUUAAUACCCAUCAGGAAAGACAUCACUCACAGAAGAAGCACCGGCUAACUCCGUGCCAGCAGCCGCGGUAAUACGGAGGGUGCGAGCGUUAAUCGGAAUUACUGGGCGUAAAGCGCGCGUAGGUGGCUUGAUAAGCCGGUUGUGAAAGCCCCGGGCUCAACCUGGGAACGGCAUCCGGAACUGUCAAGCUAGAGUGUAGGAGAGGAAGGUAGAAUUCCCGGUGUAGCGGUGAAAGUCGUAGAGAUCGGGAGGAAGACCAGUGGCGAAGGCGGCCUUCUGGACUGACACUGACACUGAGGUGCGAAAGCGUGGGUAGCAAACAGGAUUAGAUACCCUAGUAGUC
This 465-nucleotide ribosomal RNA is filed under the name Vreelandella stevensii. RNAcentral describes it as "partial 16S ribosomal RNA". It matches the Rfam family "Bacterial small subunit ribosomal RNA", at positions 338 to 795 of the family's 1533-position model. Lineage: Bacteria; Pseudomonadati; Pseudomonadota; Gammaproteobacteria; Oceanospirillales; Halomonadaceae. The record is from RNAcentral.